CCAGCCAUUGAUGAGGAGAAGAAUGUCAUUUUGAUUGCCUUGGUGGCGUUUGCUUGCCUGCAAGUCAAUCCCAAAGCCCGGCCAACAAUGCAGCAGGUAUAUCACGCACUGACAAAUAGAAACAGCCCAUCAUUCAUGCCCAGGCCCUUUCAUGAAAUCAGGCUACAAGAUUUUCAUGAUUUUUGUGGCACCAUAAAGAAUAUAUGAAUCGAUAUGGGUGUUCUACUAUGUUAGCAAUUAUAUAUUUGGCAUAUGUGUAUUUGAGAUAACGUAUCUACCCUGUUAUCUUUGAACUUUGAAGUGUCUGUAACAAUUAGAUUGCUGUCCGUUUCGGAAAAAAAAAACAAUUAGAUUGCUGAUAAAUGAAGCGGCAUUUUGAUUUCGAGAAUUAGCUUGUUGAUAUUUGCCCAAGUACUGAUUUACUCUAGUUUGUUUGACUGACAUUUUGCAGGAAUGUUUGGAUGGUGCCUCUGUGAUUAGCUGGUUUCUUAGAAGGUGAUUAACUAUUUAUUGUUGUCGAGUGUUUGUAAUCAGGCAAUCUGUUGUUUAUUUUGGCACUAGGUUUAUCUUUUGCCUGAAGCCGUCUGGGAGAAAGACAUUCAAGAGACUUGAUCAUAUGACCCAUAUCGGUUUUCGCAUAGAUCAUAUGGCCUGAUUUAGUUCGUGAUAGAUCAUGCAUGUGCCCUUGUUUUGUUUGCCUUUCUGGUCAUUUACUGUUUUUAACAAGUACUCCCUCCGAUCCAUAUUAAUAGACGCACACUUAGUACAACU
Molecule: long non-coding RNA, 771 nt
Filed under: Triticum aestivum (bread wheat)
Lineage: Eukaryota; Viridiplantae; Streptophyta; Magnoliopsida; Poales; Poaceae
Description: long non-coding RNA (TAES_LNC027507)
Source: RNAcentral